CUCCCCGACGCAGCGUUACUGUCUCUUACAAAUACUCUCUCGGGCGUUCAGGAGGGAUCCCGGCUGCACUCGUCAUUCAACUAGUUUAGAAAUUGUCUGUUGGUCUAAGCACCUACUAUAUUUAGCAUUUUUGUAGAGCUUUACUUUGUAAAUGUAUUUAAAACGAGGUAAAAUUUUGUGAAAGUGGAACGUUAGCGUGAACCGACCAGGGCCUCGCGCUGCCACGUGGGAACACCGACAGAUUGACACCAUGAGAAAAAAGUUGACCUCUGGUGGAGUCCUCUCAGCAUGCAUUUUACAGUCAAAACUUGGGAUAAAUGCAGUCUCCUGAUGUCUCCAAGGAGCAGUGAAAAUGGAGCCAAUCUAAACCUCAAGAAACACUUGAGAUGAGUUGACCAAAUGAUGGGGCAAUGCACUGUGUCGGCCUAAUUUAACCAGAUGACUAAAGAUUCUUCCUGUGCAGAGGAUAGACGUGUGAGCUGCGCUGCCAUAAGAUGUGACCUUGCACUUCUGUGUACAGGCCCAAUUCUACCUGAAGACUAAAGACUUGUCUCCAGGUGAAUAUGCAUUCGCUGCAUGUAAAAAUGCUGUAAUCUGCUCCUGUGGUGAUGAAAUCUAAACUGAAACAGCUGGAAUUACCGGCAGAUUGUUUAGUGGUGACUCUCGGUUUUCUGAACAAUAUAAAGUGCAGUGAUGUAGUAAUACUAAUAAUGUACUUAAUCGCUAACAAAUCAUAAUUCUCAUUUCUACCCCUCCUGUAGAUGAAAGACUUGGGGCCCAAAAUGUGAUCUUGCCCGAUUGAACUAGAUGACUAAAGAUUCUUGCUGGGCAGGUGAAGCACUGGUAUCUAAAGUCUGUCUCCAGAAGUCUGUUCUACCGACUGAAAGAUGACCGACUUGAGAGCUGCCAAAACGUGGGACAUUGCAUGUCUUUGUAGCAGACCAGUUGGCUGAAGAUGUGUGCUUUGCAGAAUGGGCUCAAGUGGUUAAAAACGACUGCCUUCACGCUGCAUGAGGUGAGAAGCCUUCUGAUUAGUUUGAAUGUGUAGUUGUGUAUCAUCAGCAGGAACAUAAUAAAUUGCAAAUUGAUGGCCUUUGAAUAAUAUGAAUGUGUUGACCUCUGCUAACCUGAUUUUAAAUGUUUCUUGUAACAUGGAUUGAAUAAACCACCAGUUAAAUUGUGAAUAUAGCUGCUCUAAGCUGUGUCUAUAUAACAGUAUUUUAUUUUCCUCAGAUGAAGAUGGUUCUGUCUGAAGAGUUUCAACAUGUUUGCUUGAAAAACAGUUUAAUAAAAUGUCAACUUGAACACUGA
Long non-coding RNA from Pungitius pungitius (ninespine stickleback), 1311 nucleotides. RefSeq lists it as uncharacterized. Lineage: Eukaryota; Metazoa; Chordata; Actinopteri; Perciformes; Gasterosteidae. The record is from RefSeq and is a predicted model, not a curated record. The transcript has 8 exons.